Molecule: unclassified non-coding RNA, 364 nt
Filed under: Pouteria domingensis
Lineage: Eukaryota; Viridiplantae; Streptophyta; Magnoliopsida; Ericales; Sapotaceae
Description: Pouteria dominigensis partial contains external transcribed spacer and 18S ribosomal RNA
Source: RNAcentral
UCCUGCGUUGCUUGCCUAACGGGACGGAAAUUGACCCUAGAUGAGUCCUAAUGCUCUCCUCUCACCGAUUUGUGGUGUUAGGUUGACGGGGAAGUACUGCCCAUUCUCCUUGAUUGCUUCGCUCUUCGCGUUGUGAUUGGGGCCCAUGGGUGGCUACGAGUUUCGCUCGGAUGCAAAACUGUCGAAUGGUUCACGGCAUGUAGUUGUUGUUUACCCACACUAAGCGUUCGUCGCUCGAUGCGCACGACGGCUGUGCCCGUCUGGGUCCCCUCUUCCAACUCGUUUGGAUGGGGCUCAUGGGGUGCUGGCGUCGCGAAGGAAUGUUACCUGGUUGAUCCUGCCAGUAGUCAUAUGCUUGUCUCAA